GAACGGGUGAGUAAUAUAUCGGAACGUGCCCAGUCGUGGGGGAUAACGCAGCGAAAGCUGUGCUAAUACCGCAUACGAUCUCUGGAUGAAAGCGGGGGACCUUCGGGCCUCGCGCGAUUGGAGCGGCCGAUAUCAGAUUAGCUAGUUGGCGGGGUAAAAGCCCACCAAGGCGACGAUCUGUAGCUGGUCUGAGAGGACGACCAGCCACACUGGAACUGAGACACGGUCCAGACUCC
RNAcentral lists this ribosomal RNA (236 nucleotides) under uncultured bacterium. Its description in RNAcentral is "partial 16S ribosomal RNA". It matches the Rfam family "Bacterial small subunit ribosomal RNA", at positions 100 to 339 of the family's 1533-position model. The record is from RNAcentral.